RNAcentral lists this ribosomal RNA (293 nucleotides) under uncultured bacterium. RNAcentral describes it as "partial 16S ribosomal RNA". It matches the Rfam family "Bacterial small subunit ribosomal RNA", at positions 505 to 796 of the family's 1533-position model. The record is from RNAcentral.
GUGCCAGCAGCCGCGGUAAUACGUAGGGGGCAAGCGUUGUCCGGAUUUAUUGGGGGUAAAGAGCUCGUAGGCGGCUUGUUGCGUCGACUGUGAAAACCCGCGGCUCAACCGUGUGGCUUGCAGUCGAUACGGGCAGGCUAGAAUUCGGUAGGGGAGACUGGAAUUCCUGGUGUAGCGGUGAAAUGCGCAGAUAUCAGGAGGAACACCGGUGGCGAAGGCGGGUCUCUGGGCCGAUAUUGACGUUGAGGAGCGAAAGCGUGGGGAGCGAACAGGAUUAGAUACCCUAGUAGUCC